CAGGUCCAGCGCUUCCUGUUCCGAGCCUUCCAGCUCCACAACCACCACCAGCAAGUUCGUCCACGUAAACACAGCACUGUUGGCACGAUACAGGAUACUUAGAGAGCCAUGCAGGAGAAGAGGCCACAGAUAUAAUACAGCAGGGAGUCAGCUGGCUGCUGCCAAGGAUAUUUCAACAAAACAAUGCAAUGAGUCUGAGGUUUCUCCUCUACAGCCAUUAAAGAGCUAAUGCUUUAACAGUCUGUACCUGUCAUGUCGAAGUGCUCUCAUAUCCACAUAGACUGUUGUUGGAUCUGGUCCUGCUGUUCCCUAAGAAUAAGGAGGAAGAAAUAAAUUCAAUAGAAG
This is a long non-coding RNA of Pseudopipra pipra, 345 nucleotides long. RefSeq lists it as uncharacterized. The transcript is spliced from 2 exons. Lineage: Eukaryota; Metazoa; Chordata; Aves; Passeriformes; Pipridae. The record is from RefSeq and is a predicted model, not a curated record.